This 640-nucleotide ribosomal RNA is filed under the name Salmonella enterica subsp. enterica serovar Infantis. Its description in RNAcentral is "partial 23S ribosomal RNA". It matches the Rfam family "Bacterial large subunit ribosomal RNA", at positions 967 to 1529 of the family's 2925-position model. Lineage: Bacteria; Pseudomonadati; Pseudomonadota; Gammaproteobacteria; Enterobacterales; Enterobacteriaceae. The record is from RNAcentral.
GAAUGUUAUCACGGGAGACACACGGCGGGUGCUAACGUCCGUCGUGAAGAGGGAAACAACCCAGACCGCCAGCUAAGGUCCCAAAGUCAUGGUUAAGUGGGAAACGAUGUGGGAAGGCCCAGACAGCCAGGAUGUUGGCUUAGAAGCAGCCAUCAUUUAAAGAAAGCGUAAUAGCUCACUGGUCGAGUCGGCCUGCGCGGAAGAUGUAACGGGGCUAAACCAUGCACCGAAGCUGCGGCAGCGAACGUAUCACUUAAAGCGAUUCAGCGGGUUACGAUUGACGGAGCGAAGCGACGUCAAAGCGUAUACAAAGUCGAGUCGGUUUAAGGAUACGUUCGUUGGGUAGGGGAGCGUUCUGUAAGCCUGUGAAGGUGUGUCGUGAGGCAUGCUGGAGGUAUCAGAAGUGCGAAUGCUGACAUAAGUAACGAUAAAGCGGGUGAAAAGCCCGCUCGCCGGAAGACCAAGGGUUCCUGUCCAACGUUAAUCGGGGCAGGGUGAGUCGACCCCUAAGGCGAGGCCGAAAGGCGUAGUCGAUGGGAAACGGGUUAAUAUUCCCGUACUUGGUGUUACUGCGAAGGGGGGACGGAGAAGGCUAUGUUGGCCGGGCGACGGUUGUCCCGGUUUAAGCGUGUAGGGUAGG